GUGCGUGACCAGGAUUCGAACCUGGGUUAUUGUGGCCACAACACAUUGUCCGAACCACUAGGCGAUCACGGCA
This 73-nucleotide transfer RNA is filed under the name Cordylochernes scorpioides. RNAcentral describes it as "tRNA-His". The record is from RNAcentral. Lineage: Eukaryota; Metazoa; Arthropoda; Arachnida; Pseudoscorpiones; Chernetidae.